UAGUGUUACAGCUCUUUUAGAAUUUGUCUAGCAGGUUUUCUGUUGUGUUUUUUUCCCCUAGAAAACACCCCC
This 72-nucleotide small nuclear RNA is filed under the name Echinops telfairi (small Madagascar hedgehog). RNAcentral's name for it is "U7 small nuclear RNA (ENSETEG00000024252.1)". It matches the Rfam family "U7 small nuclear RNA". Rfam says of the family: Animal histone pre-mRNAs are spliced by a different mechanism than nuclear pre-mRNAs and self-splicing introns. The record is from RNAcentral. Lineage: Eukaryota; Metazoa; Chordata; Mammalia; Afrosoricida; Tenrecidae.